AUGGCCUCACCCUUCCUUCCUUGCAACCAACCCCCUGCCACCGUGCACCCUUCUCCCAUGGCGAUGGCGAUGGCGAUGGCUAGAGAGAUGGAUCUAGGCAUCUGGCCCCGCCAGAUCGAGGCGCAGGCCCGCUGGCCGGACGGCGGCAACGUACCUCCCCUCCAUGUCCAGAUGGGAAACAGCACGGUCAAGGUACGGUGGCUCCCGGAGACUCUCACGGCGGCCGGGCCGGGCUCCCCCAGCUAG
This 246-nucleotide ribosomal RNA is filed under the name Triticum aestivum (bread wheat). RNAcentral's name for it is "partial small subunit ribosomal RNA". The record is from RNAcentral. Lineage: Eukaryota; Viridiplantae; Streptophyta; Magnoliopsida; Poales; Poaceae.